GACCAUAUGGACAAUGGGC
Molecule: small nuclear RNA, 19 nt
Filed under: Arabidopsis thaliana (thale cress)
Lineage: Eukaryota; Viridiplantae; Streptophyta; Magnoliopsida; Brassicales; Brassicaceae
Description: snRNA_02981
Source: RNAcentral